UAUUUCCUUCUUCAUAGUCCUCUGAUGUCCCCGAAUAUCCAACUGCCAAAGAAAUACUGCAUCCACUGCUACAAGCCUUCCUGACAAAUCAGAGAAAUUUAUAGUACAAGAUGUUGUAAGAAUAUAUGUAAUGAGAUUCUCUGUAGGUCUGGAAAUACUUCUAAAGUAAAAUUAGUGAUAUAAAUAUUAAAAGUUCUCUUUUAUCCAUAUUAUGGUUAAUUUUUUUGUAUCCUUUCAAAAGCUUUUGCUCCGGUAAUUCUAUGUAUACUAUAGAUUAGCAAAACCUCUAUCCUUAUGGUGUUGGUGCAUGA
This 311-nucleotide unclassified non-coding RNA is filed under the name Hevea brasiliensis (rubber tree). The record is from RNAcentral. Lineage: Eukaryota; Viridiplantae; Streptophyta; Magnoliopsida; Malpighiales; Euphorbiaceae.